This 57-nucleotide ribosomal RNA is filed under the name Betiscoides sp. B52_sw_69. RNAcentral describes it as "partial 16S ribosomal RNA". Lineage: Eukaryota; Metazoa; Arthropoda; Insecta; Orthoptera; Lentulidae. The record is from RNAcentral.
GGACCAUAAGGGUAAAAUAAUUUUANUUUAUUUUGAUUAAUAUUAAUUUAAUUUAAU